RNAcentral lists this ribosomal RNA (346 nucleotides) under uncultured bacterium. RNAcentral's name for it is "partial 16S ribosomal RNA". It matches the Rfam family "Bacterial small subunit ribosomal RNA", at positions 338 to 681 of the family's 1533-position model. The record is from RNAcentral.
CCUACGGGUGGCAGCAGUGAGGAAUAUUGGUCAAUGGACGCAAGUCUGAACCAGCCAUGCCGCGUGCAGGAAGACGGCGCGAUGAGUUGUAAACUGCUUUUGUACGAGGGUAAACGCAGAUAAGCGUAUCUGUCUGAAAGUAGCGUACGAAUAAGGAUCGGCUAACUCCGUGCCAGCAGCCGCGGUAAUACGGAGGAUUCAAGCGUUAUCCGGAUUUAUUGGGUUUAAAGGGUGCGUAGGCGGUCGGAUAAGUUAGAGGUGAAAUCCCGAGGCUCAACUUCGGAAUUGCCUCUGAUACUGUUCGGCUAGAGCGUAGUUGCGGUCGGCGUCAUGUCUGGUGUAGCGG